This 435-nucleotide long non-coding RNA is filed under the name Betta splendens (Siamese fighting fish). RNAcentral's name for it is "lncRNA (ENSBSLG00000001157.1)". The record is from RNAcentral. Lineage: Eukaryota; Metazoa; Chordata; Actinopteri; Anabantiformes; Osphronemidae.
AUGCAACCGGGAAUGUGCCGCCCCGAGGGGUCCCCGGAGCGCGAGGGACGACCCGCGGCGUGCAGCCGGCGGAUGAUGGCGACGGGAGCGGGGACGUCUCCGGCUGGGAGUCGGUGUGUGCUCCUCUUCCUCCUGCUCCUCGGCAGCUGCUGCCACAUGUUGCACGGCCAAGUGCGUGAAGACCGGUUUAGCAGCGGCAGCUCAGCAUCAUCAUCUGACGGGGCUCCAAGGCGCCGGCUGUUUUUAUUAGGGGAUUCAAAAGUGCGUGAUCGGCAUCGUUUAGUUAAUGAGGUCUGAUAACAGGUCGCCUGGCGCUCAUAGCUCCUUUCUGGAGAUUGGAUGAUUAGUUGAUACUUGUAAAAGUUGCUUCACAAACAAGCUGCUUUGCUUCAACUUCUUGGAUUUUGUGUCCAAUAAACAAUUUAAAGAUAUCCA